Long non-coding RNA from Oxyura jamaicensis (ruddy duck), 150 nucleotides. RefSeq lists it as uncharacterized. The record is from RefSeq and is a predicted model, not a curated record. NCBI's taxonomy places the organism in Eukaryota, Metazoa, Chordata, Aves, Anseriformes, Anatidae. The transcript has 3 exons.
AUUCUGUGUUUUUGCCCUGUGCCAAGUAGUUAAAUCUAUUUUUGAAGACUUAAGCAUGGUUUCGUGUUGGCUGUUUACAGAGAAGACAGAUGACACUUUUUAAAAGAAAACCUGUAAGGCAGUAAAAUAGAUGUGAUAGAAUGCCACAUU